GAUGAACGCUGGCGGCGUGCCUAAUACAUGCAAGUCGAGCGGAAGGACGAGAAGCUCGCGUAACUGAUGUUAGCGGCGGACGGGCGAGUAACACGUGGAUAACCAACCUAUAAGACAGGGAUAACUUCGGGAAACCGGAGCGAAUACCGGAUAAUAUUUUGAACCGCACGGUUCCAAAGUGAAAGAAGGUCUUGCUGUCACUUAUAGAUGGAUCCGCGCUGCAUUAGCUAGUUGGUAAGGUAACGGCUUACCAAGGCAAGGAUGCAAUGGCGACCUGAGGUGGGGGUCAGCCACACUGGAACGGAGCCACGGUCCAGACCCCUAUGGUACGCAGCAGUGCGGUAUCUUCUGUAGUGGGCGAAGGCCUGGCGGGACAACGCCGCGUGGGGUAUGGAGGGCCGCGGAUCUUAAUACUCUGUUAUUUGUGUGGAACAUUUGUGUAAGUAACGUGGCACAUCUUGACGGUACCGAAUCAGAAAGCCCCGGCUAACUACGUG
This 497-nucleotide ribosomal RNA is filed under the name uncultured bacterium. RNAcentral describes it as "partial 16S ribosomal RNA". It matches the Rfam family "Bacterial small subunit ribosomal RNA", at positions 28 to 507 of the family's 1533-position model. The record is from RNAcentral.